UGGAGGCAGCAGUGGGGAAUUUUGGACAAUGGGCGAAAGCCUGAUCCAGCCAUUCCGCGUGAGUGAAGAAGGCCUUCGGGUUGUAAAGCUCUUUCGCAAGGAAAGAAAACUUAUCUCCUAAUACGAGGUGAGGAUGACGGUACCUUGAUAAGAAGCACCGGCUAACUACGUGCCAGCAGCCGCGGUAAUACGUAGGGUGCGAGCGUUAAUCGGAAUUACUGGGCGUAAAGCGUGCGCAGGCGGUUUUGUAAGUCAGAUGUGAAAUCCCCGGGCUCAACCUGGGAACUGCGUUUGAAACUACAAGGCUAGAGUGUAGAAGAGGGGGGUAGAAUUCCACGUGUAGCAGUGAAAUGCGUAGAGAUGUGGAGGAAUACCGAUGGCGAAGGCAGCCCCCUGGGCUAACACUGACGCUCAUGCACGAAAGCGUGGGGAGCAAACAGGAUUAGAUACCCCGGUAGUCCG
RNAcentral lists this ribosomal RNA (462 nucleotides) under uncultured bacterium. RNAcentral describes it as "bacterial SSU rRNA". It matches the Rfam family "Bacterial small subunit ribosomal RNA", at positions 343 to 797 of the family's 1533-position model. The record is from RNAcentral.